GCCUGGCUAGCUCAAUGGCUAGAGCGUUUGACUUUUAUGCACUUCCAUAAAGGUAUCAAAAGGUUGCGGGUUCGACCCCCGCGUCGGGCU
Molecule: transfer RNA, 90 nt
Filed under: Scheffersomyces stipitis CBS 6054
Lineage: Eukaryota; Fungi; Ascomycota; Pichiomycetes; Serinales; Debaryomycetaceae
Rfam family: tRNA
About the family: Transfer RNA (tRNA) molecules are approximately 80 nucleotides in length.
Source: Rfam by way of RNAcentral